CUGGAAGUCACCAAAAAUAGAGAACAAGAAAGUUGGGCAAAAGGAAGAGGAAAGGAGAUAUUUGUGUGGACUGACAAUAUAAAACUUUUGCUUCAGAAUACAAGUCCCGAUGAUGCCAAGGUGGACCGGCAUGGUAUCCCCCUGACACCAAACAAACUCAACCGCCUGCCAUUCUUCUCCCAGCCCACAAAAAUAACAUCAUCGUCAAAUUCGCUGAUGACACAACAGUGGUCAGUCUGAUCACAAAAGGAUCACCCUAGAAGAGAGGAGGUCCAGAAGCUCACAACCUGGUGUACAGACAACAAUCUGGCACUGAACACUCUAAAAACAAAAAUCAUUGUGGACUUCAGGAGGAACAGAAGUAUACCAGCUGCGCUCCUCAUUAACGCCAAGCAUGUGGAGAGAGUUCGCACAUUCAGGUUCCUGGGACUCCUGAUUUUUGAGGACCUCUCCUGAACAGACAACAUCACAGCAGCCAUUAAAAAGCUUCAACAGCAUCAUCACUUCCUGAGAGUCCACAGGAAGAAUAACCAGGACACAAGGAGCUGCAUUGAGGCAGACAGAGCAACGCUUCAGGGCUCAAUCAAAGCAGCACAGAAGAUCGUUGGCUGCCCUCUGCCCUACAUGCCAGACAUUUAUUCCUCUCAGUGCCUCAGCAGAGCUCAGAACAUUAUUAAGGACACUACACAUCCUGGCUAUCAACUGUUUGAGCUCCUGCCGUCUGGAAGGUAUUACAGAUGUGCAAAAACAAGGACCAAUAGACUAAGUAUUUUCCGAGAGCCAUUUUCUACCUCGAUCUCUCAUCUUUCCUCUAGCCACACUAUUAAUGCAAAGGUACACUGAUCUCGAUAUCUUGAGCAAUGCUUUUUAUGCACUGUUUUACUCGUGUAUUUUUAUUUAUUUGUGUUAUUUUUAUUCUUACUUUUAUAUUGACUUUAUAUAUACACUGACACAGGAGAGGCUCUCCUGUUUUGUUGUACACUCAUAUAAUGACAAUAAAUGGCAUUAAUUAAUUAAUUAAUUAAUUCAUUCAUUCAUUCAUUUAUACAUACAUACACCAUGGUAUCAUGGGUGCUCCAGAGGAACGAUUGUUCAGAUUUGAAUUUUAUCCUCCUGUUGAGUCGUACAGAAAGUUUUAACGUGUGACAUGUUUUUUUAACUAAAGAAUCCACAUUUGUGUCAUUCGGAUUUUCUUAUUCUUUGUUUAGUAGUUUUCUCUCUCUUUCUCUCUUUGAGGUAGUUUGUACUGUUACUUUGACCAUCGUCAUCAUAUCUUUGUGUUAGUAUGUCACAUUUUCGUCCUCUUUCUGUUCAGCAAAUCUGUCAAUUCUUCAAUCUUUUGUAUGCAUGUCAAAUAUUGCGCGUGUCUGCCUGACUACAGUUUGGAAGUGUUUGAAAUGCUAUUAAAGUGUUUUGGGAUCAUAGUUUGGGGUAUGUUUAUGGUUUAAUCAAUUGAUAUAAAAAAUUGUAUGUGCUUUUAGGGGACUGUCAAUCAUUUGCGGAAAUUCACGUUUUAC
This is a long non-coding RNA of Syngnathoides biaculeatus (alligator pipefish), 1517 nucleotides long. RefSeq lists it as uncharacterized. Lineage: Eukaryota; Metazoa; Chordata; Actinopteri; Syngnathiformes; Syngnathidae. The transcript has 4 exons. The record is from RefSeq and is a predicted model, not a curated record.